UACGUAGGGGGCGAGCGUUGUCCGGAUUUAUUGGGCGUAAAGAGCGUGUAGGCGGCCAGGUAGGUCUGCUGUGAAAACUCGAGGCUCAACCUCGAGACGUCGGCGGAAACCAUCUGGCUAGAGUCCGGAAGAGGAGAGUGGAAUUCCUGGCGUAGCGGUGAAAUGCGCAGAUAUCGGGAAGAACACCCGUGGCUAAGGCGGCUCUCUAGUACGGUACUGACGCUGAGACGCGAAAGCGUGGGGAGCGAACAGG
RNAcentral lists this ribosomal RNA (253 nucleotides) under uncultured bacterium. Its description in RNAcentral is "partial 16S ribosomal RNA". It matches the Rfam family "Bacterial small subunit ribosomal RNA", at positions 524 to 776 of the family's 1533-position model. The record is from RNAcentral.